RNAcentral lists this ribosomal RNA (621 nucleotides) under uncultured Sulfurospirillum sp. RNAcentral describes it as "bacterial SSU rRNA". It matches the Rfam family "Bacterial small subunit ribosomal RNA", at positions 740 to 1358 of the family's 1533-position model. Lineage: Bacteria; Pseudomonadati; Campylobacterota; Epsilonproteobacteria; Campylobacterales; Sulfurospirillaceae. The record is from RNAcentral.
AUGACGCUGAGGCAUGAAAGCGUGGGGAGCAAACAGGAUUAGAUACCCUGGUAGUCCACGCCCUAAACGAUGCACACUAGUUGUUGCGAUGCUAGUCAUUGCAGUAAUGCACUUAACAGAUUAAGUGUGCCGCCUGGGGAGUACGGUCGCAAGAUUAAAACUCAAAGGAAUAGACGGGGACCCGCACAAGCGGUGGAGCAUGUGGUUUAAUUCGAAGAUACACGAAGAACCUUACCUGGCCUUGAUAUCCUAAGAAUCCUGUAGAGAUACGGGAGUGCUAGUCUACUAGAACUUAGAGACAGGUGCUGCACGGCUGUCGUCAGCUCGUGUCGUGAGAUGUUGGGUUAAGUCCCGCAACGAGCGCAACCCUCGUGAUUAGUUGCUAACAGUUCGGCUGAGCACUCUAAUCAGACUGCCUUCGUAAGGAGGAGGAAGGUGAGGACGACGUCAAGUCAUCAUGGCCCUUAUGGCCAGGGCUACACACGUGCUACAAUGGCUAGGACAAAGAGACGCGAUACUGCGAAGUGGAGCAAAUCUUAAAACCUAGUCUCAGUUCGGAUUGAAGUCUGCAACUCGACUUCAUGAAGCUGGAAUCGCUAGUAAUCGUAGAUCAGAUAUGCU